RNAcentral lists this long non-coding RNA (1027 nucleotides) under Anser brachyrhynchus (Pink-footed goose). Its description in RNAcentral is "lncRNA (ENSABRG00000007424.1)". Lineage: Eukaryota; Metazoa; Chordata; Aves; Anseriformes; Anatidae. The record is from RNAcentral.
GUGGAAAGUUGAGGAGCUGUUCUGCCAAGCUAUGGGAGAUUCCUACAAAAAAGCAAGGAAAAAUAUCUUUAAUCUUUUUUGAGAAAGAGAUGCUGAAGAAACAUAUCUCCAGAGCUGAUGUCAGUUGUAAAUAAGAGGCACAGCACCAAGAACUAGCAUGUGUUAUCUGAUGUGGGAGUGUUUUCUAGAAGGGUGGGAGGGGAGAAGAAAAACCAGGAAUAAGGGAAUUAAUGCAGUCGUUACCUGCCAUGAAGACCUCAGAUCUCUAAGAGCAUUGCGUGGCAUUUUACGACAGGCUGUGUAUACCAGCAAGCAGCACGCACAUCCAUUUUGGCCAGCUGCUUCUUGUCAGUUAAUCCCCUUCUUAGAGGUUUGGGCUCGAGCAGACUGCCUGCGGAUGCUCGGCCCCGUCGCCCACAGGCUGAUUUUGCUGCUUUUUUUGGUCAGGGCCGGCCUUUCGGGGGCUCCCCUCUCCCCCCGGGCUGCCGGGGGCCGCCGAGCCGUGUGCCGGCGGGCUGACAGCAGGGGGCAAGAGCGCUCCAAAAAUGCCCUCCCGAGCAUCCUCCGCCCUGCGCCGCCGGGGGGGAAGCGGGGGGCGGCUGAGGCGGCUCCGGCAAACCCGGCAGGGCUCCGGCAGCCCCGGCUCGGUGCGCCCCGAGCAGCCCCCCGCUCCCCCAGGGCGGCCAGCAGGCAGCGGAGCCUGCAGCGGUGCUGCGAGGGGGGGAUGGGGAUGGGGAUGGGGGAGCCUCCUCCUCGCUCCCCGCCUCGCUGUGCUCUCUCUUUCACGCAGGCUUUCUGGGGCUGUGCGUUAAGAAGGAGGCUGCCGCUGGAAAUGUUCGUAAUGCGGGAUAUUUCCAGCUGCGGCUUUCUGGGACGUUUCCUCCUCACCGCACCUGGGGAAGCCCCUCCGUGCGUGCGUGAUUUUAGGGCUGUCGGCGGUCCCCUCGCCUUCGGAAGCUGGAGCAUCCCCCCUUCACCGAGGUACCCGCGCUCUGGCUGCUUGCUGCUGGGAUCAGCUGGGCAGUAG